This 144-nucleotide small nuclear RNA is filed under the name Lottia gigantea (owl limpet). RNAcentral describes it as "U1 spliceosomal RNA". It matches the Rfam family "U1 spliceosomal RNA", at positions 22 to 166 of the family's 166-position model. Rfam says of the family: U1 is a small nuclear RNA (snRNA) component of the spliceosome (involved in pre-mRNA splicing). Its 5' end forms complementary base pairs with the 5' splice junction, thus defining the 5' donor site of an intron. There are significant differences in sequence and secondary structure between metazoan and yeast U1 snRNAs, the latter being much longer (568 nucleotides as compared to 164 nucleotides in human). Lineage: Eukaryota; Metazoa; Mollusca; Gastropoda; Lottiidae. The record is from RNAcentral.
AAAUUUAUUCAAAAGUUAAAGUUAAGGUUCUCCCAGGACGAGGCUUCUGCAUUGCACCUAGCGGAGGUUGACCCCUGAGAUCACCCCUAAUGUGGGUGACUCGAGUAAUUUUUUAGUGUGGGGACUGCGUUCGCGCUCUCCCCU